RNAcentral lists this ribosomal RNA (564 nucleotides) under Peltophryne empusa (Cuban small-eared toad). RNAcentral describes it as "Peltophryne empua (Cuban small-eared toad) partial 16S ribosomal RNA". It matches the Rfam family "Bacterial large subunit ribosomal RNA", at positions 1819 to 2597 of the family's 2925-position model. Lineage: Eukaryota; Metazoa; Chordata; Amphibia; Anura; Bufonidae. The record is from RNAcentral.
CGCCUCUUGAAUUAAUAUAAGAGGUCCAGCCUGCCCAGUGACCCUGUUCACGGCCGCGGUAUCCUAACCGUGCGAAGGUAGCGUAAUCACUUGUUCUUUAAAUGAGGACUAGUAUGAACGGCAUCACGAAGGUUAUACUGUCUCCUUUUUCCAAUCAGUGAACCUAAUCUCCCCGUGAAGAAGCGGGGAUGUAAUUAUAAGACGAGAAGACCCUAUGGAGCUUAAAACAACACAGCACUUGCUAAAAAAUUAAACAAUUUCAGAAUUUUCCUUUUCUAAGCAACAUGACUGUAAGUUUUUGGUUGGGGUGACCACGGAGUAUAAUAUAACCUCCAUGUUGGAAGAAUUUUAUUCUAAGCCAAAAAUUACAUUUUUAAGCAUCAAUAAAUUGACAUCUAUUGACCCAAUAUAUUUGAACAACGAACCAAGUUACCCUAGGGAUAACAGCGCAAUCCACUUCAAGAGCUCCUAUCGACAAGUGGGUUUACGACCUCGAUGUUGGAUCAGGGUAUCCCAGUGGUGCAGCCGCUACUAAAGGUUCGUUUGUUCAACGAUUAAAACCCU